UACAGAGGGUGCAAGCGUUGUUCGGAAUUACUGGGCGUAAAGGGCGCGUAGGCGGCUCGGCAAGUCAGGCGUGAAAUCCCGGGGCUCAACCCCGGAAGUGCGUUUGAAACUGCCAAGCUAGAGUGCAUUAGAGAAUGGCGGAAUUCCCAGUGGAGAGGUGAAAUUCGUAGAUAUUGGGAGGAACACCGGUGGCGAAGGCGGCCAUUUGGGAUGCAACUGACGCUGAGGCGCGAAAGCGUGGGUAGCAAACAGG
This 253-nucleotide ribosomal RNA is filed under the name uncultured bacterium. RNAcentral describes it as "partial 16S ribosomal RNA". It matches the Rfam family "Bacterial small subunit ribosomal RNA", at positions 524 to 776 of the family's 1533-position model. The record is from RNAcentral.